Molecule: long non-coding RNA, 228 nt
Organism: Trichomycterus rosablanca
Lineage: Eukaryota; Metazoa; Chordata; Actinopteri; Siluriformes; Trichomycteridae
Exons: 3
Source: RefSeq, a predicted model, not a curated record
ACGCGCAGGAUCUUCCGUCAGAUCGUCUCGGCGCUGGCCUACGUCCACAGCCAGGGAUACGCCCACCGUGACCUUAAACCAGAAAACAUGAUGCUGGAUGAGAAGAACAACAUCAAGCUCAUUGACUUUGGUCUCUGUGCCAAACCAGAGGGUGGAUUGGGUACUGCUCUGAUUGAGGGCUGUGGAACCCCUCCCUACUUGGCACCAGAAUUCAUUGAUGCGCAACCC